UUUUUUUUUUUUUUUUUUUUUUUUUUUUUUUAAGAUUGGCAGAGACACACAAGGAUCCCAAGACCUUGGGAUCACACCCUGAGCCAAAGGUAGACACUCAACCACUGAGCUACUCAAGCCUCCUGAUUCUUUUUUUCUAUUGAAUAAUUUCCCUAAUUAAAAAUAUUAAUGGUCAGGAUUUGAAAUAGCUAGAUGAGGGUAGAAGCAUGUUUAGAAUUUUAAGAAGUCUUUAUUAAACCUUAAAAAUGUAUACCAAAAUAUAUGUAGUUGUGAAUCUUUAAAAAGAGAGUGGUAGAAACAGGCUUCCUAUGUCUGUCCUAUGUCCUAUGACAGUCCAAGACUGCCAACACUGAAACGGCCUAGAAGUAGCAUGUGAUUUGUAAGAUUAUUUUUUUUUUCUUUUCUUUUCUUUUUUUUUAAGAUUUAUGUAUUUAUUUUAGACUGAGAGAGCGAGCAUGGGGGGAAGCCACAGAGGGAGAGGGAGAGAGAAAUUUCAGUAGACUUUACUCCUGUCACAGGGCUCAAUCCCAUCAUACUGAGACCACAAUUUGAGCUGAAACCAAGAGUUAGAUAUUCAACCCACAGCAGGUGUUUCUGUGAGAUUAUUUUUCAUGUGUAAUAGAAAUAGAUUUAUUAAAUAAUAAAAAUAUUUUUAUUGUAUAGCCACACUUCGAAAAGAACAAACACAGCAAAAACAUUAAACUGAUACAUAAAUGAAUGAUUAAAUAUUUAAUGACUAUUAUUUUAAUACAUUUUUUUAUUUUUUUAUUUUUUAUUUUUUUAAAGAUUUUAUUUAUUUAUUCAUGAGAGACACAGAGAGAGAGAGAGGGAGGCAGAGACACAGGCAGAGGGAGAAGCAGGCUCCAUGCAGGGAGCCUGAUGUGGGACUCGAUCCCGGGUCUCCAGAAUCGUGUCCUGGACUGAAGGCGGCGCUAAACCGCUGAGCCACCGGGACUGCCCUAAAUACAUUUUAGAGGUAAACAGCAUAUACUUCUAUAUUCAGAUUGAGGUGAGAAAAAUUAGAUAUUCUGUUCAUUUAUUCUUCUGAAUCUUUUCAAUAAACUGGGUAGGGAUAGAUAACCUUUCUCUGCGUGUGUUGAGACUUCUGUGGUGUCGUCAGGUGAAGGUUAAGACUUGAGUAUGUUAAAAUCAAUUACAUAAAGAUUUUUGGGGUGCCUGGGUGGCUUAGUCAGUUAAGGAUUUGCUUUCUGCUCAGGUCAUGAUCCCAGAGUCAUGGGAUCUAGCCCUGCGUCAGGCUCCCUCCCUGCUUUGCAGAGAGAGCCUGCCUCUCCUUCCCCCUCUGCUACUCCCUCUGCUUGUGCUCUCAAUCUCUCUCUGUCAAGUAUAUAAAUCAAAUCUUUUUUUUUUUUUUUUUUUAAAGCCUAGCUUUCUGUUUUGGGGCAGAAGAAGAGGAAAAAUAAAGAUAGGUAAAUGUUAAUUACUGAAAGAUUUCUUAUAUAAUUGUAUAUCUUGACCUAUCCCACAAUUUAACACUGGUAGGUGUUCUCUAAGUAUAAAUAUGGUGGAGAUUUUCCCUGUGCAUAUUUACUGAAAUGGUGACUUGUAGAGAAAUAGCACAUAACCAAUAUAUUAGUUGAAUUGUGUUUUCAUAAAAUGUGAUAUUGCUUUUUAUAUAUGUAAUUUGAAUACGUUUCCUAGUUUCAAGAUGAUUUUAAAGAAUUACCUUUCCUUGUAAAAGCCACUUAGGAUUUUUAUGCGAAGCUUUAAGAUUUAUCUGGCUUUAUCUAGUGUCAUUUGAAUUUUAUAUAUAUUUUUUUCUUGCAUUUGCAAGUACCCAGUGAACCAUGUGUAAAAAUUGUUACCAUGAUGAAGGAAUGCCUUUGCUACUUUUAUGCUAUUAGCUUUAGAGCUUUAAAUAUAGUAUGCAGUUUUAACUAUAUAGUCUUAAUUACCUUGUAUUUUUUCCAAAAAA
RNAcentral lists this long non-coding RNA (1933 nucleotides) under Canis lupus familiaris (dog). RNAcentral describes it as "lncRNA (ENSCAFG00845028401.1)". The record is from RNAcentral. Lineage: Eukaryota; Metazoa; Chordata; Mammalia; Carnivora; Canidae.